CUCAGCCGCCUCCGUCCACCGCUCCGUCUGCCCCACAGCCGGCCGCCCUUCGCCUACCGCGUUGCCUCCACCUCCAUCCUCCACUUGCAGCACUACCCGCCGAUGUCCGCCUGCCAAAACAACGCACCCACAUCGUCCGAUGUCCGCCUGCCAAAGCAACGCACCGACAUCGUCUUUCCAUUCCCGAGGCUCUUCCCCUUGCGGCCUUGCCACAGCUGCCGCGUCAUCACCCACCGCCAUCGUCUCCAGCCACCUACCUCCUCUCUUCUCCACUCUCAGUCCCACCCCCUCUAUUUCGACGUGGGCAGCGCCAGGUACACCACUCCCCCUCCAAGAGCUUUUCUGCCCCUCCAUCACCAUUGGCACGGAGCUGUCGUCCAUCUGCAGCUCGCGUGAGCGGCUAAACGACGCGACGGCGGUGCGAUUAAGAGCUCCUCUAGGCCUCCCUCUGCUGGGCCCGCCCAUUGCAGACUGCCGAAGCUCCUGGAGUGCAGCAACAGAGGUGACCUAGAGAGCAGCUCGCAUGACUGCAGGUCGACGCAAUGCCAACGCGAGUAGCAACUCCAGCCAUGGCCUUUACAUGUGCAGCUCAGCCAUUGACUCCACUGUCUGCAAGAAAGUACCUAUUGGACCUCUUAUUAUGGGAUGUAAGAGUUGGAGUUCUAUGGCUCGUUGACGGUAUCUGUACAUACAUACUUUAUCACUCAGUCAUCCUGGUACUGUGAAAUGGGCAUCUAGACUUGGCCGAGACUGAGAGCAUCACAAUAACCUCGCUCAGUUUAUGUUCGUUAUGGGCUACAACACUGAAGCUGUUCAUUCGGUGAUUAUGAAUUCUAAUUCCCAUCUGAAAUGUUCCUUGCCAUUAUAUUUUUAAAAGAUUCCUUGCAUAUAUGUGCAUGUCAGCUAUACUGGUAUAAGAUGCUGUUACCUCGCAAUGUAUGGGAUCCUGUUAGUACUGUGAAAUGAUAUAUAUUAUUUUUCUUAGGAGAUAAAGACAACAAGAUGCAAUGCUCUGUAAACAUAUAAUUCAAAGUUAUCUGACCAAA
Panicum virgatum (switchgrass) is the source of this 1046-nucleotide long non-coding RNA. RefSeq lists it as uncharacterized. The record is from RefSeq and is a predicted model, not a curated record. The transcript has 4 exons. Lineage: Eukaryota; Viridiplantae; Streptophyta; Magnoliopsida; Poales; Poaceae.